RNAcentral lists this non-coding RNA (126 nucleotides) under Propithecus coquereli (Coquerel's sifaka). Its description in RNAcentral is "U4atac minor spliceosomal RNA (ENSPCOG00000007689.1)". It matches the Rfam family "U4atac minor spliceosomal RNA". From Rfam's summary of the family: U4atac is an essential component of the minor U12-type spliceosome complex which is required for removal of the rarer class of eukaryotic introns (AT-AC, U12-type). These interacting stem loops have been shown to be required for in vivo splicing. U4atac also contains an 3' Sm protein binding site which has been shown to be essential for splicing activity. The record is from Rfam by way of RNAcentral. Lineage: Eukaryota; Metazoa; Chordata; Mammalia; Primates; Indriidae.
ACCAUCCUGUUCUUGGGGUAGCACUACUGUCCAAUGAAUAAGUAGCAAGGGCAGUACUGCUAACGCCUACACAACACGCUCACAUCAACUAGAGCUUUGUUUUACUUUGGUGCAAUUUUUGGAAAA